UACGGAGGGUGCGAGCGUUGUCCGGAUUUAUUGGGUUUAAAGGGUGCGUAGGUGGCUUAAUAAGUCAGUGGUGAAAUACAGCCGCUCAACGGUUGAGGUGCCAUUGAUACUGUAAAGCUUGAAAGAAUUGGAGGCUGCCGGAAUGGAUGGUGUAGCGGUGAAAUGCAUAGAUAUCAUCCAGAACACCGAUUGCGAAGGCAGGUGGCUACGAUUUAUUUGACACUGAGGCACGAAAGCAUGGGGAGCAAACAGGAUUAGAAACCCCAGUAGUCC
Molecule: ribosomal RNA, 273 nt
Filed under: uncultured bacterium
Lineage: Bacteria
Description: partial 16S ribosomal RNA
Rfam family: Bacterial small subunit ribosomal RNA
Source: RNAcentral